RNAcentral lists this ribosomal RNA (253 nucleotides) under uncultured bacterium. RNAcentral describes it as "partial 16S ribosomal RNA". It matches the Rfam family "Bacterial small subunit ribosomal RNA", at positions 524 to 776 of the family's 1533-position model. The record is from RNAcentral.
UACGUAUGUCGCGAGCGUUAUUCGGAAUCACUGGGCGUAAAGAGUUCGUAGGCGGAUAAAUAAGUCAGAAGUGAAAUUUUGGGGCUCAACCCCGAAACUGCUUUUGAAACUGUUUGUCUUGAGUAUGUGAGAGGAAGAUGGAAUUCCUGGUGUAGCGGUGGAAUGCGUAGAUAUCAGGAAGAACACCGGUGGCGAAGGCGGUCUUCUGGCACAAUACUGACGCUGAGGAACGAAAGCGUGGGGAGCGAACAGG